GAUGAACGCUAGCGAUAGGCUUAACACAUGCCAGUCGAGGGGCAGCACAAGGUAGCUUGCUCUCUGGGUGGCGACCGGCGCACGGGUGCGUAACGCGUAUGCAACUUGCCCUAUACAGGAGGAUAACCCGUCGAAAGACGGACUAAUACUGCGUAUGCUCACAACUUGGCAUCAAGUGGUGAGGAAAGAAAUUCGGUAUAGGAUAGGCACGCGUCCCAUUAGCUUGUUGGUGAGGUAACGGCUCACCAAGGCAACGAUGGGUAGGGGAACUGAGAGGUUUAUCCCCCACACUGGUACUGAGACACGGACCAGACUCCUACGGGAGGCAGCAGUGAGGAAUAUUGGUCAAUGGGCGCGAGCCUGAACCAGCCAAGUCGCGUGAAGGAUGACUGUCUUAUGGAUUGUAAACUUCUUUUAUACGGGAAUAACAAGAGUCACGUGUGACUCCCUGCAUGUACCGUAUGAAUAAGCAUCGGCUAACUCCGUG
RNAcentral lists this ribosomal RNA (487 nucleotides) under uncultured bacterium. Its description in RNAcentral is "partial 16S ribosomal RNA". It matches the Rfam family "Bacterial small subunit ribosomal RNA", at positions 28 to 507 of the family's 1533-position model. The record is from RNAcentral.